ACGGGAGGCAGCAGUGGGGAAUAUUGGACAAUGGGGGAAACCCUGAUCCAGCGACGCCGCGUGAGUGAAGAAGUAUUUCGGUAUGUAAAGCUCUAUCAGCAGGGAAGAUAAUGACGGUACCUGACUAAGAAGCCCCGGCUAACCACGUGCCAGCAGCCGCGGUAAUACGUAGGUGGCAAGCGUUGUCCGGAAUGACUGGGCGUAAAGGGAGCGUAGGCGGCGCAACAAGUUAGGAGUGAAAUCCCGAGGCUUAACCUCGGAACUGCUUUUAAAACUGUUGUGCUUGAGUGAUGGAGAGGAAAGCGGAAUUCCUAGUGUAGCGGUGGAAUGCGUAGAUAUUAGGAGGAACACCAGAGGCGAAGGCGGCUUUCUGGACAUUAACUGACGCUGAGGCUCGAAAGCGUGGGGAGCAAACAGGAUUAGAUACCCUGGUA
This 434-nucleotide ribosomal RNA is filed under the name uncultured Clostridium sp. RNAcentral's name for it is "partial 16S ribosomal RNA". It matches the Rfam family "Bacterial small subunit ribosomal RNA", at positions 341 to 792 of the family's 1533-position model. The record is from RNAcentral. Lineage: Bacteria; Bacillati; Bacillota; Clostridia; Eubacteriales; Clostridiaceae.